This 619-nucleotide ribosomal RNA is filed under the name Salmonella enterica. RNAcentral's name for it is "partial 23S ribosomal RNA". It matches the Rfam family "Bacterial large subunit ribosomal RNA", at positions 2184 to 2802 of the family's 2925-position model. RNAcentral also lists the same sequence under 2 other names. The record is from RNAcentral. Lineage: Bacteria; Pseudomonadati; Pseudomonadota; Gammaproteobacteria; Enterobacterales; Enterobacteriaceae.
AGCCGACCUUGAAAUACCACCCUUUAAUGUUUGAUGUUCUAACGUGGACCCGUUACCCGGGUUGCGGACAGUGUCUGGUGGGUAGUUUGACUGGGGCGGUCUCCUCCUAAAGAGUAACGGAGGAGCACGAAGGUUGGCUAAUCCUGGUCGGACAUCAGGAGGUUAGUGCAAUGGCAUAAGCCAGCUUGACUGCGAGCGUGACGGCGCGAGCAGGUGCGAAAGCAGGUCAUAGUGAUCCGGUGGUUCUGAAUGGAAGGGCCAUCGCUCAACGGAUAAAAGGUACUCCGGGGAUAACAGGCUGAUACCGCCCAAGAGUUCAUAUCGACGGCGGUGUUUGGCACCUCGAUGUCGGCUCAUCACAUCCUGGGGCUGAAGUAGGUCCCAAGGGUAUGGCUGUUCGCCAUUUAAAGUGGUACGCGAGCUGGGUUUAGAACGUCGUGAGACAGUUCGGUCCCUAUCUGCCGUGGGCGCUGGAGAACUGAGGGGGGCUGCUCCUAGUACGAGAGGACCGGAGUGGACGCAUCACUGGUGUUCGGGUUGUCAUGCCAAUGGCACUGCCCGGUAGCUAAAUGCGGAAGAGAUAAGUGCUGAAAGCAUCUAAGCACGAAACUUGCCCCGA